RNAcentral lists this ribosomal RNA (409 nucleotides) under uncultured bacterium. RNAcentral's name for it is "bacterial SSU rRNA". It matches the Rfam family "Bacterial small subunit ribosomal RNA", at positions 355 to 776 of the family's 1533-position model. The record is from RNAcentral.
UGGGGAAUAUUGGGCAAUGGAGGAAACUCUGACCCAGCGACGCCGCGUGCAGGAUGAAGGCCUUCGGGUUGUAAACCGCCUUCAGUAGGGAAGAAGCGAAAGUGACGGUACCUACAAAAGAAGCACCGGCUAACUAUGUGCCAGCAGCCGCGGUAAUACAUAGGGUGCGAGCGUUAAUCGGAAUUACUGGGCGUAAAGGGUGCGUAGGUGGUUUAUUAAGUUAUCUGUGAAAUCCCCGGGCUCAACCUGGGCAGGUCAGAUAAGACUGGUAGACUCGAGUAUGGGAGAGGGUAGUGGAAUUUCCGGUGUAGCGGUGAAAUGCGUAGAGAUCGGAAGGAACACCAGUGGCGAAGGCAGGUCUCUGGGCCAUUACUGACACUGAGGAGCGAAAGCGUGGGGAGCGAACAGG